UGGAUUUGCCCCUGACCACCUUGUUCUUUCUCCGCCAUUAUCCUCCCAAUCACCUUUUCACGUAUCAACUUCAAUAUCAGAUUGCUAGGGGUACCCUGAACACCCUCAUCAUAUGCCAGUCAGAAGAGAUCUUGGAGACAGACCAUGUUUCGAAUUCAGAUGAAUUUCAUACUCCUGAUGAUGGAUGAUUUCUCUAUCAACAAACCGAAAACUAGGGCUAGGCAUGGUCCGAUUAAGUUCGAUUCUAACCAGAAUAGAAGGAACCCAAAAUUUUCGGAUAUUUAGCAAGUGGAACCGUCGGAUCCAAAUUUAAUUAUGGAAUCAUUAGGGUUCAGUUCCAUUCGGUUAUUUAUUUCCGUACUAUAAUUAAAUUUUUUAAUAUUUACAAAACUACAUUAAUUUAACUAAUGACAUGUUCAAUCUUAGCUCUUUAAAAUAACGUAGUGCAAUCAUAUGUACCUUUUGCAUAUCUUUUUACUGAGUUCUUUAUAAAUUUGAUUGUUAAAAUCACAGAAAGGGGAAGAUAAAGAGCUUACAAUAAUUAAGAGAGGCGUUGUCGAGUUUCAAUUCAAUUCUCCAAAACAAUAGAAAUGAUACUACAAUAACAAAUUUAGGUAAAGUUUAGGUCAAUUUGAUAAAGUUGGCUUGAAUUGAAAAUUAGAAAUAGGAAAAUUAUAUUGGGUUUGAGCUAAAUUAAUUAGUUAGCAAAAUACUAAAACUAAUUUGACUUAUUUAAAAUAAAUUAAUUAAAAAAAUUAGGGAGACUUG
Molecule: long non-coding RNA, 768 nt
Filed under: Olea europaea subsp. europaea
Lineage: Eukaryota; Viridiplantae; Streptophyta; Magnoliopsida; Lamiales; Oleaceae
Source: RNAcentral